GUUGAGUCGGGAUAGCUGGCGCUCAAGUCUCGCUGUUUCAUCUGGUAAAGUGAAUGGUUAGAAGUGAUUUCAAUCUGAUCUCAAACUUUAAAUUAUAAAAUGCAUGGCUUGCUUGCUUGGAGCUGGGAGUGGAACGCAAGCUGCCCAGAGGGCCGCUUUUGGUAAGCAGAACUGGCCCUUUAGGAUGAAUCA
This 192-nucleotide non-coding RNA is filed under the name Oreochromis niloticus (Nile tilapia). Its description in RNAcentral is "Eukaryotic large subunit ribosomal RNA". It matches the Rfam family "Eukaryotic large subunit ribosomal RNA", at positions 967 to 1170 of the family's 3401-position model. Lineage: Eukaryota; Metazoa; Chordata; Actinopteri; Cichliformes; Cichlidae. The record is from Rfam by way of RNAcentral. RNAcentral also lists the same sequence under 1 other name.